GAGGUGCGGCGGCGGUGGUGGCGGACGACAUGGAGGCGGCGAGUCGGACGGCGUGGAGGCGGCCGGCCGGACCUCGCCUCCACCAGAUCCGGCGGCAUGAAGGCGGCUGCGGCCGGCGGGAGGGGCGGCGGCCCGGACGGCGUGGAGGCGGGCGGUGGUGGCCUCCGUUUUUUUUCUUUUUUUUUUUUUGCAAAUUUUUUCCAUCGCUAUUGCUAACCUAAUCGGAUUGCUUAUGGACGAAAACUCGGACGAAAUUAGAUGUGACGACCGAAAAAAUACGAAUAUUUAUAUUAGUUAUAUUAUAUAUAGAUAUAGAUUAAUUUUUUCUAUAAACCUCGUACCCUUGUUUCGGACAAAUUUAGAACAGAUUGGAUCAGAUAUUAUCCCAUCCAUUUGCGCUGACAUGUGAUACAGCCGUUGCUGCAGCCAGAGCCAGCGGCAUGACGAGCGGCUGACAGGUGGGCCCACAUGUCAGCUGUUUUGCGCUUCUGCUCCUUCCGCCCCAAAACCCCCGAUCCCCCCUUCCUUCAAGCGGUCGCCGGUGGCGGCGAUUUCCGCCUUUUUCUGCGGCGGCGGCGGCGGCAUUCGCAUGGCGCACUCAGUCGCCGGCACCGCACCGGGGUCUCCUCCAUCGGCGAGUUCUCGUCGCCCCCCUCGCUCCUCCGUUCUGUAAUCCGCGCGGAACCAUCGGGCCGAUAUCAUCUUGCAAGAUUCCCCCAUUGGAUUUACGGUCAAAUCGGAGAAGCACAUGCAGCACAUCUUUCAUUGAUGGCCGCAUUGAAGGAUGCUCCCCAGUACAAAUCACAGCAAGUGUAAACACCUCCAAUGCGUCCUCAACAUGGGUUGGGUCUCUGAUCCCCUCAUCGAGAAGAUCAACUGACAAACCAUAUUCUUGGUACUGCCUCCAUGCCCAUUGUGCCAAGCAAUAGUACUCUCCACCAUCAUUUGCCACUCGACCAGUUAUGAUUUCCAGAAGGACCACACCAAAGCUGUAGACAUCGAUCUUCUCGUUUACCUUGAGCCGAUGUCCGUAUUCUGCAAAGUGUAAACAAUUUAGUGUUUCAGGUAAUAUGCAAGUAUAUACUCAUCAAAGUUACUCUUUUUCUCUCUGACCUGGUGCCAUGUAGCCAAAAGUUCCAGCUAUAGCAGAAAAUGACUCGUCGUCUCCAGCUUUGAGAAGAAUCUUUGCAAGCCCAAAAUCUGCCAUCUUUGCUCUGAAGUUGUGAUCCAGAAGGAUGUUGGCACACUUGACAUCUCGAUGCACUAUGGGAGGCGAGCAAUGGUGAUGCAUGUAGCAAAGACCUCUCGCUGAGUCGAUGGCAAUUUGCAAUCUUGUUGGCCAAUCCAGAGGUCCUGGCGCACCAAUUCUUUCCCUCUGGUGAAGCCAUUGAUGUAGGCUGCCGUUUUCCAUGUACUCAUAGACAAGAAGCUUUGCAUCUGAACUUGAGAUGCAGCAGAGCAGCUUGACAAUGUUUGUGUGCCUGAUCUCUCCCAAUAUCUGAGCCUCUGCAAGGAAGUCCUUCUCCAGUUUGUCAUCAAGAUUCGGUGUGUUCCAUAUCUUUUUGACGGCCACCAUCCUUCCACCACUUGCUCUAUCCCCAGCAUAAACCCGGUACACCUUGCCAGACCUGCCACUUCCAAUCCAAUUCUGCUCGUAGAGCCCAGAAAGAAUGUUAGUUGUGGUGAAAUGCAAUAUGUGGAAUGGUGUUAGCUUCCAUGACAAGUGGUCUUGAAGCUUUUUUCUCCUUAAGAGCAUGAUACCAAGCACUGCUGAACCCAAAAGCAUGAUGCUGGCAACAGCAGAAAAGAGGGCUAUAAGCCUCCUAAAUAGAUCAUUGCCGUUUGUUCUUGCCCUGCAGAUAGGGAAAUUAUGAACUGAAUUGUUUGAUGAUACACAGAGGCCUGGGUUGAAUAGAAAGCUUUGUUCAUAUGCUUCGUUUUGCAGUGAUAUCGGAAUUUCCCCGAUGAGUUGGUUCAUAGAGAGAUUCAGAAAAUUGAGCCUCAGCUUAUUAAAAUCCUUUGGGAUUUCACCUGAUAAUUUAUUCGACGAGAGAUCAAGGAUGGUUAGUACUGUCAUAAACCCAAACGCCGCUGGGAUAUUACCAGAUAUCUGAUUUCCACUUAGGUUAAGUGUGUUUAGCCUCGCCAGCACUCCAAUUGUCAUGGGUAGUGAGCCACUAAUUUGAUUCCUAGAGAGGUCAACUUCUGUGACCUGAGAAAUGCCUGUCAGAUCCCAGGGAAUUUCACCAGACAGCAAGUUGUUUGCUGCUAUGAAUACUUUCAUUUUUCCUGCCAAUGUUGGAAUAGGACCUGAGAAUUUGUUGUUGCUGAUGUCAAGACGUGUAAAGUUCCAUGGGAGCUGUUUGGGGAAUGUGCCAGAGAACCUGUUGUUUUGUAUCAUAACUGUACUUAGCUGAUUUGUCACCACUGACCAAAGACUCUUGGGGAACUCUCCAGAAAAAUUGUUGUUGUACAUCAUCAAAUUGUUCAACAGAUAGCAGCCGUCCAAUGACGAUGGAAGUUUUCCAGAAAAGCUGUUAUUGAACACAACAAUGUCAUAUAGCUUCCUGUUGAAGCAGAGGCCUUCUGGUAGCUUCCCAGAGAGGUUAUUAUUGGAGACCUCAAGAUUGGCCAGUGGUGAGUGCUUACCAAGCUCUGGUGGGAGUGAUCCAGAGAGCAUGUUACCGAAUAACCGAAUGUCAGUAAGCUUUGGCAGCAGCCCAACGCUUGGUGGUAUUGAUCCACUCAGCUUGUUAAAGUAGAGAAACAGUAAGGUAAGGUUGGUAAGCUUACCAAAUCCAUUUGGUAUGGUUCCUAUUAAUUCGUUUGAAGAAACAUCAAUCUCCACCAAGUUCAAGGCACUGACAUUGGGUUCAAUCUCACCGGUGAAUCCGUUUGCAUACAGGUACAAAUUCUGAAGUUUCUUAUGUUGCCAGAUCCACGUUGGAAUUUUUCCUUGCAGCUUGUUUGAUGAAAAAUCCAAGAGGUUGAGCUCUCUGAGGCUGGACAAGUUUUCAGGGAUUUCACCGGUAAUAUUCAUAUUUGACAGCCACAAGUAAGUCAGACGUGUCAACCUACCAAACUCCACUGGAAAGGGAGCCGGUACAAAUGGAUUGACUGCUAGUGUCAGCCUCUCAAGGUCAGCAAGAUUGCUGAUAUCCUCAGCUGGGUACCUCCCAUCAAACUGAUUGGUGUCAAGGAGCAGUGACUUCAGCCUUGGGAACAGUCCAAUUGAUGGUGGAAUUCUGCCUGUGAAGUGAUUAGAUGAUAGGUUGAGAUGCUCGAGCAGUGCUGAUAGAUGAUUUAAGUCACUUGGGAGUUGUCCAUCAAAUGCGUUGUUGGAAAGAUCUAGGAACUUGAGAUUGGAGCAAUUGUAGAGCAUGGUAGGGAAUGAAGUGGAGAAAUUGUUGUAGGAAAGGUCCAAGCGGGUGAGGUUCUUUAGGAGACAAAUGGAGGGAGGAAUUGGUUUGAUGAAGGUUUGAUUUGGUAGAGAGAUGCCAAUCACCGCACCAUUUGUGCAUGUAAUUCCUUCCCAGUUGCAGUGAGCAGUAGUAGUGGAGUUCCAUCUACCUAGCGCAGGUGAGCUCCCCCAAUGGUUCUUGAGCUCAAGGAGGAUUUGGUGUUCUUCAUUAGAUUGAUUUGUGGACUUUGGGUAGGAUUUGUGCAGCAGAGAAAAUGAUAUCACAAAGAACAGGAAGAAGUUCACAUACCGUUUGUUGGCCAUCUCUGCUGAAUCCUUUUGGCUGGAAAUCUCUUGCCAGGAGAGGAGGAAUGCAUGGGUGUUUUGGGUGUUUAGCUAUAAUCUCCAAUGCAAGUGGAUGCUAUUGUAUUGUCACCAGUCACUGUGAAUUCCUUUUAGAAUUGGGCAUAUACUGGCAAGUCAUCCAUUCGACUAUUUGAUUUUGAGCUAACAUGGAAGCCUUGCUGUUAAUGCCUUUGUUUAUGUGGUCCUCCCAGCUCCAACGCAUCGUUAGUGUCUGAUGACAUGGAUGACUUGGAACAAUGGAACCAUUAUGACCUUUGGGCGAGGGAGAAUUUACCACUUCUGCUUUGGAACAGUUUAGACAUGAACAGGGAUUUUUACACUUGCCUGUGUAAACUACACGUCUUUGAGAAAAUUUCAGGUAAUUUAUACUGCUUCAUACAAAACAAAGUGCUACCUAGUUCAAGUUACUGUCUUGUUGAAUAUUAUGGGUCGUGGUGUAAAUCUUCUCUGUUUGAUUAAAGAUUGUGGGGUGGGGUAAAAUUGAACCGACAUUAGUUGCUUGGAGUAACCUAUGUCCUAACUGUCAGUCCACUUAUAUGAAGUUCAUAUGGUAACCGCUUUGGCAUCCUGCUGAGAUAAUGUUCAAUUGGCUGUUGCUACU
Oryza sativa Japonica Group (Japanese rice) is the source of this 4367-nucleotide long non-coding RNA. RefSeq lists it as uncharacterized. The record is from RefSeq and is a predicted model, not a curated record. Lineage: Eukaryota; Viridiplantae; Streptophyta; Magnoliopsida; Poales; Poaceae.